Molecule: non-coding RNA, 120 nt
Organism: Podarcis lilfordi (Lilford's wall lizard)
Lineage: Eukaryota; Metazoa; Chordata; Lepidosauria; Squamata; Lacertidae
Source: the annotation of a GenBank genome assembly
GUGAGAGGGGGGGAGGGAUACUACUCAGAAGGGUGGUGGGAAUGGGUAAUUGGCUGAUAGAUGUGGUGAAUCACCCAUUCCCACCACCCUUCUGAGUAGUACCCCACCCUCCCACUAUAU